AUUGAACGCUGGCGGCAGGCCUAACACAUGCAAGUCGAGCGAGCGGCGGACGGGUGAGUAAUGUCUGGGAAACUGCCUGAUGGAGGGGGAUAACUACUGGAAACGGUAGCUAAUACCGCAUACCAUCAGAUGUGCCCAGAUGGGAUUAGCUAGUAGGUGGGGUAACGGCUCACCUAGGCGACGAUCCCUAGCUGGUCUGAGAGGAUGAGCCGCCACACUGGAACUGAGACAAGGUCCAGACUCCUACGGGAGGAAGCAGUGGGGAAUAGUGCACAAUGGGCGCAAGCCUGAUGCAGCCAGGCGGCGGGUAUGAAGAAGGCCUGCGGGUGGUAAAGUACUUUCAGCGGGGAGGCGUUACCCGCAGAAGAAGCACCGGCUAACUCCGUGCCAGCAGCCGCGGUAAUUC
This 406-nucleotide ribosomal RNA is filed under the name uncultured bacterium. RNAcentral's name for it is "partial 16S ribosomal RNA". It matches the Rfam family "Bacterial small subunit ribosomal RNA", at positions 29 to 526 of the family's 1533-position model. The record is from RNAcentral.